Molecule: ribosomal RNA, 450 nt
Filed under: uncultured bacterium
Lineage: Bacteria
Description: partial 16S ribosomal RNA
Rfam family: Bacterial small subunit ribosomal RNA
Source: RNAcentral
GUGGGGAAUAUUGCGCAAUGGGCGAAAGCCUGACGCAGCGACGCCGCGUGAGGGAUGAAGGUUUUCGGAUCGUAAACCUCUGUCAGAAGGGAAGAAACUACAUUGUGCUAAUCAGCAGUGUACUGACGGUACCUUCAAAGGAAGCACCGGCUAACUCCGUGCCAGCAGCCGCGGUAAUACGGAGGGUGCAAGCGUUAAUCGGAAUUACUGGGCGUAAAGCGCACGUAGGCUGUAGUGUAAGUCAGGGGUGAAAUCCCACGGCUCAACCGUGGAACUGCCUUUGAUACUGCACAACUUGAAUCCGGGAGAGGGUGGCGGAAUUCCAGGUGUAGGAGUGAAAUCCGUAGAUAUCUGGAGGAACAUCAGUGGCGAAGGCGGCCACCUGGACCGGUAUUGACGCUGAGGUGCGGAAGCGUGGGGAGCAAACAGGAUUAGAUACCCGGGUAGUCC